CCGGGCCUACGGGGGGCAGCAGUGAGGAAUAUUGGUCAAUGGACAAGAGUCUGAACCAGCCAAGUAGCGUGAAGGAUGACUGCCCUAUGGGUUGUAAACUUCUUUUAUAUGGGAGUAAAAUGUUCCACGUGUGGGAUUUUGUAUGUACCAUAUGAAUAAGGAUCGGCUAACUCCGUGCCAGCAGCCGCGGUAAUACGGAGGAUCCGAGCGUUAUCCGGAUUUAUUGGGUUUAAAGGGAGCGUAGGUGGAUUGUUAAGUCAGUUGUGAAAGUUUGCGGCGCAACCGUAAAAUUGAAGGUGAAACUG
Molecule: ribosomal RNA, 305 nt
Filed under: uncultured bacterium
Lineage: Bacteria
Description: bacterial SSU rRNA
Rfam family: Bacterial small subunit ribosomal RNA
Source: RNAcentral